CCUACGGGAGGCAGCAGUAGGGAAUCUUCGGCAAUGGGCGAAAGCCUGACCGAGCAACGCCGCGUGAGCGAUGAAGGCCUUCGGGUCGUAAAGCUCUGUUGUUAGGGAAGAACAAGUACCGUCGAACAGGGCGGUACCUGACGACCUAAC
This 150-nucleotide ribosomal RNA is filed under the name uncultured bacterium. Its description in RNAcentral is "partial 16S ribosomal RNA". It matches the Rfam family "Bacterial small subunit ribosomal RNA", at positions 338 to 491 of the family's 1533-position model. The record is from RNAcentral.